GACGAACGCUGGCGGCGUGCUUAACACAUGCAAGUCGUACGGAAAGGCCCUGCUUUUGUGGGGUGCUCGAGUGGCGAACGGGUGAGUAACACGUGAGUAACCUGCCCUUGACUUUGGGAUAACUUCAGGAAACUGGGGCUAAUACCGGAUAGGAGCUCCUGCUGCAUGGUGGGGGUUGGAAAGUUUCGGCGGUUGGGGAUGGACUCGCGGCUUAUCAGCUUGUUGGUGGGGUAGUGGCUUACCAAGGCUUUGACGGGUAGCCGGCCUGGGAGGGUGACCGGCCACAUUGGGACUGAGAUACGGCCCAGACUCCUACGGGAGGCAGCAGUGGGGAAUAUUGCACAAUGGGCGGAAGCCUGAUGCAGCAACGCCGCGUGCGGGAUGACGGCCUUCGGGUUGUAAACCGCUUUCGCCUGUGACGAAGCGUGAGUGACGGUAAUGGGUAAAGAAGCACCGGCUAACUACGUG
Molecule: ribosomal RNA, 468 nt
Filed under: uncultured bacterium
Lineage: Bacteria
Description: partial 16S ribosomal RNA
Rfam family: Bacterial small subunit ribosomal RNA
Source: RNAcentral